AACGCGAAGAACCUUACCAGGUCUUGACAUCCCCUGACAACCCGAGAGAUCGGGCGUUCCCCUUCGGGGGACAGGGUGACAGGUGGUGCAUGGUUGUCGUCAGCUCGUGUCGUGAGAUGUUGGGUUAAGUCCCGCAACGAGCCGCAACCCUCGACCUUAGUUGCCAGCAUUCAGUUGGGCACUCUAAGGUGACUGCCGGCUAAAAGUCGGAGGAAGUGGGGAUGACGUCAAAUCAUCAUGCCCCUUAUGACCUGGGCUACACACGUGCUACAAUGGGCGGUACAAAGGGUCGCGAACCCGCGAGGGGGAGCCAAUCCCAAAAAGCCGCUCUCAGUUCGGAUUGCAGGCUGCAACUCGCCUGCAUGAAGCCGGAAUCGCUAGUAAUCGCGGAUCAGCAUGCCGCGGUGAAUACGUUCCCGGGCCUU
Molecule: ribosomal RNA, 425 nt
Filed under: uncultured Anoxybacillus sp.
Lineage: Bacteria; Bacillati; Bacillota; Bacilli; Caryophanales; Anoxybacillaceae
Description: bacterial SSU rRNA
Rfam family: Bacterial small subunit ribosomal RNA
Source: RNAcentral